This 1030-nucleotide ribosomal RNA is filed under the name gamma proteobacterium 10c-1. RNAcentral's name for it is "bacterial SSU rRNA". It matches the Rfam family "Bacterial small subunit ribosomal RNA", at positions 20 to 1044 of the family's 1533-position model. The record is from RNAcentral. Lineage: Bacteria; Pseudomonadati; Pseudomonadota; Gammaproteobacteria.
UGGCUCAGAUUGAACGCUGGCGGCAGGCUUAACACAUGCAAGUCGAGCGGGGGAGGUUGCUUCGGUAACUGACCUAGCGGCGGACGGGUGAGUAAUGCUUAGGAAUCUGCCUAUUAGUGGGGGACAACAUUCCGAAAGGAAUGCUAAUACCGCAUACGUCCUACGGGGGAAAGCAGGGGAUCUUCGGACCUUGCGCUAAUAGAUGAGCCUAAGUCGGAUUAGCUAGUUGGUGGGGUAAAGGCCUACCAAGGCGACGAUCUGUAGCGGGUCUGAGAGGAUGAUCCGCCACACUGGGACUGAGACACGGCCCAGACUCCUACGGGAGGCAGCAGUGGGGAAUAUUGGACAAUGGGCGCAAGCCUGAUCCAGCCAUGCCGCGUGUGUGAAGAAGGCCUUUUGGUUGUAAAGCACUUUAAGCGAGGAGGAGGCUCCUUUAGUUAAUACCUAAAGAGAGUGGACGUUACUCGCAGAAUAAGCACCGGCUAACUCUGUGCCAGCAGCCGCGGUAAUACAGAGGGUGCGAGCGUUAAUCGGAUUUACUGGGCGUAAAGCGUGCGUAGGCGGCUUUUUAAGUCGGAUGUGAAAUCCCUGAGCUUAACUUAGGAAUUGCAUUCGAUACUGGAAAGCUAGAGUAUGGGAGAGGAUGGUAGAAUUCCAGGUGUAGCGGUGAAAUGCGUAGAGAUCUGGAGGAAUACCGAUGGCGAAGGCAGCCAUCUGGCCUAAUACUGACGCUGAGGUACGAAAGCAUGGGGAGCAAACAGGAUUAGAUACCCUGGUAGUCCAUGCCGUAAACGAUGUCUACUAGCCGUUGGGGCCUUUGAGGCUUUAGUGGCGCAGCUAACGCGAUAAGUAGACCGCCUGGGGAGUACGGUCGCAAGACUAAAACUCAAAUGAAUUGACGGGGGCCCGCACAAGCGGUGGAGCAUGUGGUUUAAUUCGAUGCAACGCGAAGAACCUUACCUGGCCUUGACAUACUAAGAACUUUCCAGAGAUGGAUUGGUGCCUUCGGGAACUUAGAUACAGGUGCUGC